Molecule: unclassified non-coding RNA, 353 nt
Filed under: soil metagenome
Description: partial contains 5.8S ribosomal RNA, internal transcribed spacer 2, and large subunit ribosomal RNA
Rfam family: 5.8S ribosomal RNA (bases 1-120)
Source: RNAcentral
GAUGAAGAACGUAGCGAAAUGCGAAAAGUAGUGUGAAUUGCAGAAUUCAGUGAAUCAUCGAAUCUUUGAACGCACAUUGCGCCCGCCAGUAUUCUUGCGGGCAUGACUGUUCGAGCGUCAUUACAACCCUCAGGCCCCCGGGCCUGGCGUUGGGGAUCGGCGGAAGCCCCCUGCGGGCACAACGCCGUCCCCCAAAUACAGUGGCGGUCCCGCCGCAGCUUCCAUUGCGUAGUAGCUAACACCUCGCAACUGGAGAGCGGCGCGGCCACGCCGUAAAACACCCAACUUCUGAAUGUUGACCUCGAAUCAGGUAGGAAUACCCGCUGAACUUAAGCAUAUCAAUAAGCGGAGGA